GUGCUCGCUUUGGCAGCACAUAUACUAAAAUCGGAAUGAUACAGAGAUGAGCAUGGCCCCUGUGCAAGUAUGACACACAAAUUUGUGAAGCGUUCCAUAAUUUU
Molecule: small nuclear RNA, 104 nt
Organism: Ochotona princeps (American pika)
Lineage: Eukaryota; Metazoa; Chordata; Mammalia; Lagomorpha; Ochotonidae
Source: RefSeq, a predicted model, not a curated record